AUGAUUUCGACAUUGUAUUAGCAGUGGAUCUUGGGUAAAUGGAAGCAGGGAUGCUUUAGGUCAAUUUAGUCAGAGUUAAAUGGUGUCAGAAUCAUCUGAAAAGGCAUAUGAAUUCAUGCCAAUGCACCCUACUACCUAAAACAGAUACUCCAAUUGAUCUCACCUUUAUAUUUCACCACGAGUUAGAAUCGCUCUUGAGAUAUGGAAAUGCACUAAUUUAGAAGAAACAAUGUAGACUUUAUGGAAGAGACAAUGAAAUGCUUUAUCUGCUCGAGAAGGUGCUUGAGUUUUUCAUGGUUUGGAAAUUUGCAUUCUUAUAGUUUUUGGUACUUGGGUAUUUUUUUCUUUUUUCUUUUAUUCAUUUUGUGAUGCACAGUAAGCUUGAUCUUGGCAAGUUGUGUGUGUGCAGUGUGUCUGUGUAAUUUCACCAAGCAAGCUUGACAUUGGCAAGUUGUGUGCGUGUGAAGGGUGUGUGUGUGUGUGUGUGAGAGAGAGAGAGAGAGAGGAGAGAGAGAGAGAGAAGAUGUGUGGGGGAGCAUAUACCUAAAACUCCUUUUAGAGAAAAGGAGUAAUUAAUUCACAAUAGGAUCAAGAGCUAGCUAAUUACAAAGCAACACAGGUAUUCUUGCUAAUCAAUG
Molecule: long non-coding RNA, 638 nt
Filed under: Vitis vinifera (wine grape)
Lineage: Eukaryota; Viridiplantae; Streptophyta; Magnoliopsida; Vitales; Vitaceae
Description: long non-coding RNA (VVIN_LNC005795)
Source: RNAcentral